GAAGAUCGAGAUCGUCCCAAAGUUGGGGCAGUGGUCGUGAUGCUGAUGAUGAUGAUGUUGGUCUAUUUAGACGUGGUGGCCGAGGUUCCAGAAUUGAAAAUAGCUGGAGUCGCCCCUCAAGAAACAAUGAUAAUGAUUGGCUUAUAGGUGGUAGGCGAUCCAGUAGGCCAUCUUCGAGGGACAGAUAUAUCUUUCUGCCUAUGCAAAUCUUGCGAGUAUUCCCUGAGCAAUUUUGUCCGCUCUUGGUACAUAUGGAAUUGAUGUAGCAUUGCAGACUGGUGUUGGAGAUUUGAUACAUUAUCCUCCAUCGUUUAGCAAAUAUAUUCAUUUUCAAUCACCAAUAACAUACUUGACAUGGCCAUGUAAAUCUCACUGAUAUGGCAUUGCGUCAUGACAGGAGCUUCGGAGGAUCGUGCUUUGUAUAUGGGCGUGCGGGGCACAGGGCAUCUGAAUGCCCUAGUAAGCAAGACUACUGAUUGUAUUUAUUUAAAUGUGUUGCUUUUCAUACACUAAGCAAAAAGUGGAGGGUCCUACUCUGCCGCCGCCGCCGCCACCGCCACCGCCACCGCUUUGUGCUCUACCUGCUUGUUUAUAACAGGUUGGUCAGUGUCUUUGUGCUGGAGAGACAAUGAAAAGAGUUACAGUGAUCAACCCCGAUU
This 659-nucleotide long non-coding RNA is filed under the name Eucalyptus grandis. RNAcentral's name for it is "long non-coding RNA (EGRA_LNC004405)". Lineage: Eukaryota; Viridiplantae; Streptophyta; Magnoliopsida; Myrtales; Myrtaceae. The record is from RNAcentral.